CCUACGGGUGGCAGCAGUGAGGAAUAUUGGUCAAUGGGCGCGAGCCUGAACCAGCCAAGUAGCGUGAAGGAGGACUGCCCUGCGGGUUGUAAACUUCUUUUAUAAGGGAAUAAAGUGAGGCACGUGUGCCUUUUUGUGUGUACUUUAUGAAUAAGGAUCGGCUAACUCCGUGCCAGCAGCCGCGGUAAUACGGAGGAUCCGAGCGUUAUCCGGAUUUAUUGGGUUUAAAGGGAGCGUAGAUGGGUUGUUAAGUCAGUUGUGAAAGUUUGCGGCUCAACCGUAAAAUUGCAAUUGAUACUGGCAGCCUUGAGUACAGUUGAGGUAGGCGGAAUUCGCGGUGUAGCGGUGAAAUGCUUAGAUAUCGCGAAGAACUCCGAUUGCGAAGGCAGCUUACUAAACUGACACUGACAUUGAGGCUCGAAAGUGUGGGUAUCAAACAGGAUUAGAUACCCUAGUAGUC
This 460-nucleotide ribosomal RNA is filed under the name uncultured bacterium. RNAcentral's name for it is "partial 16S ribosomal RNA". It matches the Rfam family "Bacterial small subunit ribosomal RNA", at positions 338 to 795 of the family's 1533-position model. The record is from RNAcentral.